AGAUUGAACGCUGGCGGCAUGCCUAACACAUGCAAGUCGAACGGGAGUAGCAAUACUCUAGUGGCGGACGGGUGAGGAAUACGUAGGAAUUUGCCCUUAAGUGGGGGAUAACCCGGGGAACCCGGAUUAAUACCGCAUGACCUCGAAAGAGCAAAGUGGGGGAUCGCAAGACCUCACGCUUUUGGAGAAGCCUACGUCGGAUUAGCUAGUUGGUGAGGGUAAUGGCUACACCAAAGGCACGAUCCCGUAACUGGUCUGAGAGGAUGAUCAGUCACACCGGACUGAGACACGGUCCCGACUCCGUACGGGACGGCGA
Molecule: ribosomal RNA, 316 nt
Filed under: uncultured soil bacterium
Lineage: Bacteria
Description: bacterial SSU rRNA
Rfam family: Bacterial small subunit ribosomal RNA
Source: RNAcentral